AGCAGCCGCGGUAAUUCCAGCUCCAAUAGCGUAUAUUAAAGUUGUUGCAGUUAAAAAGCUCGUAGUUGAAUUUCGGGAUCGACGGGUCGGUCGCGCCUCUGGUGUGUACUGGCCCUGUCGGUUUCUCCCUUCUGACGAACCACGGUGUCAUUAAUUUGGUGUCGUGGGAAAUCAGGACUGUUACUUUGAAAAAAUUGAGUGUUUAAAGCAGGCAUUCGCUUGAAUACAUUAGCAUGGAAUAAUGAAAUAGGACGUUUGAUCUUAUUUUGUUGGUUUCUAAGAUCGACGUAAUGAUUAAUAGGGAUAGUUGGGGGCAGUUAGUAUUCGAAUUGUCAGAGGUGAAAUUC
This 347-nucleotide ribosomal RNA is filed under the name uncultured Glomeromycotina. RNAcentral describes it as "SSU rRNA". It matches the Rfam family "Eukaryotic small subunit ribosomal RNA", at positions 569 to 919 of the family's 1831-position model. The record is from RNAcentral. Lineage: Eukaryota; Fungi; Glomeromycota.